Molecule: long non-coding RNA, 547 nt
Filed under: Androctonus crassicauda
Lineage: Eukaryota; Metazoa; Arthropoda; Arachnida; Scorpiones; Buthidae
Source: RNAcentral
AAUAAAUAUAUCAUAAAAUUAUUACAACUGCAGUAAUAAUAAUAGCUGGGUGGUUCAUAAACCGGCUAUAAAAGUAAUUGGCGAUCAUUAUGGAAUCAUGUUUGAAAAUUUUUGAGAUUUGCCAUUGAGAACAAUCCUGAGAUGUGGUUUGAUAGGUUAGGUAAGUUAAUCUCCAUAUCGCACUACGAAAAUACAUCAUUUUGCGGCUUCCACUUAUCGAGCUCAUCAUAGGCUGACCAUCCCCUAUCAUGAGCCAACUGAUGGUUGAAAGAUCGGAUUCAAGGGGCCUGGCAUCCAGAAAAACUGGAGGUAAUGGGGCGCGGAUCUUCCACCAUAGUAAGCCUCACUUUUACCACGUGACCAUCCGGCCGAAGAAAUGUGGCUCGAAAACUAUGGACUCUGCUCAUAUUGACAGAUCCACUAUGCACGUUUCAGAGAAAUUUUUAGCAUUUUAUUUCAAAAAAUUCAAGAUUUAAUUGGCUCCCACAUUCGCAGGAUCUGAUUAGCAUCUGAUUAUUUUUUUUGGGAUUAUUUAAAGAGAUGAGUC